CCAGUGCCCUGAAGGAUAGGGUCCUGCAAAGAAAAAUGGCAAAUGCUGUGAUGGAGGUCUGCAGGGCAACUAGGGUGGGAGCACAAAGUGGGGAUGACCCAUCUAAGCUUAAAGAGGUCAGCAAAGGUGCUAAGAAUGUAGAAGAAGGUGAUGAGUGAAUUGAGGUGUCAAGGAAGUACAGAAGUUGUUCAGGCUGACUGAAGUGGGCAGGGGAAAUAGCUGGCGAAAAGAAAAAGAGGUUCAAGCCAGGUGGCAACUUCAGUUACAGACAGCACAACCUAUACUAUGGCUAUGG
This 295-nucleotide long non-coding RNA is filed under the name Homo sapiens (human). RNAcentral's name for it is "LHRI_LNC1451.1". Lineage: Eukaryota; Metazoa; Chordata; Mammalia; Primates; Hominidae. The record is from RNAcentral.